RNAcentral lists this non-coding RNA (259 nucleotides) under Clostridium saccharobutylicum. RNAcentral's name for it is "T-box sequence". It matches the Rfam family "T-box leader". From Rfam's summary of the family: Uncharged tRNA acts as the effector for transcription antitermination of genes in the T-box leader family. T-boxes are found upstream of many aminoacyl-tRNA synthetase genes and some amino acid biosynthetic genes usually in Gram-positive bacteria. Lineage: Bacteria; Bacillati; Bacillota; Clostridia; Eubacteriales; Clostridiaceae. The record is from RNAcentral.
AUAAAUACUUUGAUUGAGAAAAGUAAAUUCUAUAACAUUUAGUAAGAGAACUUAUCAUUUGUUGGGAGAUAAGAUUUGUGAAAGAAUUGAAAAUCACUCAUGAGUAGUUAGCUGAAGGUAUUAUUAUAUUGUGUAAGCAUGACCGGCCGCAACCGUUAUAUUGCCGAAUAUUAAAUAGGUUUUCCUAAAGAUAUUUUGAAGGGUUACUUUUAAGUAACAAGUAGAGUGGUAACGCAGAGUUUUAGACUUUGUCUCUAAU